CGCCACGAUACGACUCUGUUCUGGGGGAAGAAUGGGCCGAAUAAUACGACCUCGAGCCUGUGGAUACAGACUGAUUAGUUACAUUCUGUGAAUGUGAUCUUGGUUGAUCAGUAGUUGUUUCCGUCGCCUGAGGAACAUUGCUUCCCCAUCCUCUAGUGCAGCAGCAGAAGAUAUUCCCCAUGACUGAGUGAUGUAAGACUCAAAAAG
RNAcentral lists this long non-coding RNA (207 nucleotides) under Brassica napus (rape). RNAcentral describes it as "long non-coding RNA (BNAP_LNC026167)". The record is from RNAcentral. Lineage: Eukaryota; Viridiplantae; Streptophyta; Magnoliopsida; Brassicales; Brassicaceae.